Molecule: long non-coding RNA, 273 nt
Filed under: Solanum tuberosum (potato)
Lineage: Eukaryota; Viridiplantae; Streptophyta; Magnoliopsida; Solanales; Solanaceae
Description: long non-coding RNA (STUB_LNC003106)
Source: RNAcentral
AAGGAAGCAACAUAUAUCAUUUACAAAUGACUUAAAAAGCAUUAAAAAUUACAAUAAUUACCAAUUUAAAAUAUUUAAAAGCUAUAUAAUAAAAUAGGUUGACUCUCAGAAUUCUAUCAGGCUCACAUAUAUUGGGACAGAAAAAAUAACACAUAUCAUUUUAAAAUUACCAAAAAAGUAUUAUAAAUAAUAAUAAUUAACAACUUAAAAUAUCUGAAAGACAUUUUAAAAGGGUUAAUUUUGUAAUUUUAUCCAUAUCACAUAAAUUAGGAC